Molecule: unclassified non-coding RNA, 433 nt
Filed under: fungal sp.
Lineage: Eukaryota; Fungi
Description: partial internal transcribed spacer region
Rfam family: Eukaryotic small subunit ribosomal RNA (bases 1-46)
Source: RNAcentral
AAGUCGUAACAAGGUUUCCGUAGGUGAACCUGCGGAAGGAUCAUUUCCAAAAAAGUGCAUUGCCAUAUAUACACCUUAUGGUGUGUGAACAGUUUGGAUACCACAAUUUACUCUCGAAUACUGAAGGCAUCGUGUAUGCUCAAGUGUGAGAGAGGCCUUGAUGAACCCACUUCCUUAAAGGGAAAAUAGUAUGAAAGAAUUAGAUGGUAAUGCUCUUCACAUCUUGUAUGUGAUUACACUACUCUCUUCUACUUUUUUUACUAUACCCACACAAAGGACGUUAACAUAAAGUCUUGGUAUAUUUUUUCCAAAAAAGAAGAAUUGGUGUUUUUUGAGUAGGCCACAUCUCGAAUGUGCUGCUCUUCAAGGCCCUUUUCGACUUAUCAAAGCAAAAAUAUAUAGACAACUUUUAACGGUGGAUCUCUUGGCUCGU